RNAcentral lists this unclassified non-coding RNA (315 nucleotides) under plant metagenome. RNAcentral describes it as "partial contains 5.8S ribosomal RNA, internal transcribed spacer 2, and large subunit ribosomal RNA". The stretch from base 1 to 105 matches the Rfam family "5.8S ribosomal RNA", at positions 50 to 154 of the family's 154-position model. The record is from RNAcentral.
GAACUGCGAUAAGUAAUGUGAAUUGCAGAAUUCAGUGAAUCAUCGAGUCUUUGAACGCACAUUGCGCCCCCUGGCAUUCCGGGGGGCAUGCCUGUCCGAGCGUCAUUGCUGCCCUUCAAGCCCGGCUUGUGUGUUGGGUCGUCGUCCCCUCCGGGGGACGGGCCCGAAAGGCAGCGGCGGCACCGCGUCCGGUCCUCGAGCGUAUGGGGCUUUGUCACCCGCUCGAUAAGGACCGGCCGGGCGCCAGCCGGCGUCUCCAACCUUUUUUUCUCAGGUUGACCUCGAAUCAGGUAGGAAUACCCGCUGAACUUAAGC